Molecule: ribosomal RNA, 473 nt
Filed under: uncultured bacterium
Lineage: Bacteria
Description: partial 16S ribosomal RNA
Rfam family: Bacterial small subunit ribosomal RNA
Source: RNAcentral
GGUGAACGCUGGCGGCGUGCCUAAGACAUGCAAGUCGAGCGGGCCGCGGGGUUUUACUCCGUGGUCAGCGGCGGACGGGUGAGUAACGCGUGGGUGACCUACCCGGAAGAGGGGGACAACCCGGGGAAACUCGGGCUAAUCCCCCAUGUGGACCCGCCCCUUGGGGUGUGUCCAAAUGGUGUUGCCCGCUUCCGGAUGGGCCCGCAUCCCGUCAGCCAGUUGGUGGGGUAAUGGCCCACCAAGGCGACGACGGGUAGCCGGCCUGAGAGGGUGGCCGGGCACAGGGGGACCGAGACACGGCGCCCACUCCUACUGGGGGCAGCAGUUAGGAAUCCUACGCAAUGGGCGCAAGCCUGACGGAGAGACGCCGCUUGGAGGAAGAAGUCCGUCGCGGUGUAAACUCAUGAACCCGGGACGAAACCCCCGACGAGGGGACUGACGGUACCGGGGUAAUAGCGCCGGCCAACUCCGUG